RNAcentral lists this ribosomal RNA (253 nucleotides) under uncultured bacterium. Its description in RNAcentral is "partial 16S ribosomal RNA". It matches the Rfam family "Bacterial small subunit ribosomal RNA", at positions 524 to 776 of the family's 1533-position model. The record is from RNAcentral.
UACGAAGGGGGCUAGCGUUGCUCGGAAUCACUGGGCGUAAAGGGUGCGUAGGCGGGUCUUUAAGUCAGGGGUGAAAUCCUGGAGCUCAACUCCAGAACUGCCUUUGAUACUGAAGAUCUUGAGUUCGGGAGAGGUGAGUGGAACUGCGAGUGUAGAGGUGAAAUUCGUAGAUAUUAGGAAGAACACCAGUGGCGAAGGCGGCUCACUGGCCCGGUACUGACGCUGAGGCGCGAAAGCGUGGGUAGCAAACAGG